Molecule: ribosomal RNA, 443 nt
Filed under: uncultured bacterium
Lineage: Bacteria
Description: partial 16S ribosomal RNA
Rfam family: Bacterial small subunit ribosomal RNA
Source: RNAcentral
CCUACGGGGGGCAGCAGUGGGGAAUAUUGGGCAAUGGAGGAAACUCUGACCCAGCAACGCCGCGUGAAUGAUGAAGGUCUUCGGAUUGUAAAGUUCUUUUCUAAGGGAAGAAGAAAGUGACGGUACCUUAGGAAUAAGCCUCGGCUAACUUCGUGCCAGCAGCCGCGGUAAUACGUAGGAGGCAAGCGUUAUCCGGAUUGACUGGGCGUAAAGGGUGCGUCGGUGGUUAGGCAAGUUGGUAGCGAAACUCCGGGGCUCAACCCCGGCACUACUACCAAAACGGGCGGACUGGAGUGCAGGAGGGGCAGAUGGAAUUCCUAGUGUAGCGGUGGAAUGCGUAGAUAUUAGGAGGAACACCAGUGGCGAAGGCGAUUUGCUGGACUGUGACUGACGCUGAGGCACGAAGGCGUGGGGAGCAAACAGGAUUAGAUACCCCAGUAGUC